RNAcentral lists this ribosomal RNA (265 nucleotides) under uncultured bacterium. RNAcentral's name for it is "partial 16S ribosomal RNA". The record is from RNAcentral.
CUGCUGCCUCCCGUAGGAGUUUGGGCCGUGUCUCAGUCCCAAUGUGGCCGGUCCACCCUCUCAGGCCGGCUACUGAUCGUCGCCUUGGUGGGCCGUUACCCCGCCAACAAGCUAAUCAGACGCGGGUCCAUCUUACACCACCGGAGUUUUUCACACAAAUCCAUGCGGCUUCGUGCGCUUAUGCGGUAUUAGCACCUAUUUCUAAGUGUUACUCCCCCAGUGUAAGGCAGGUUACCCACGCGUUACUCACCCGUCCGCCACUAAG